CGCGGUCCGAGCAGCUUUGGAAAGAAAAUGAAAUACAACCACACACGCACGGGCUCGCCUCCUCUCCCUCUCGCCCACGAAGUCACCGCCGCCGCCGCCCACGCCGGCCGCUUCCGGCGAGCUACGGCGCCGCGCAGCACGGCCCCGAGCUCCCCAUGCUCCGCGCCUCCCUCCCCUCCGGCCAUAUUCUCAUCUCCCGGCCUCUACUGCCCGCUCGCAACCACACCCCCGUGGCUAGGGUUCCGGGCAGUGCUUCGCCGGCGCGUCUCCGGCGGCCCCAGAUGCAGAUGGAGCACGCCAUGAGAGUUCCCCAUCCACCAUGGUCGCCGUCGUCAAGGGCUUCUUCAAGGAAAUGUGAAGGACGCCAUGGACCUGCAGCUACUCAAGGUUUUAUUCCACCUUUCCUCUUAUAUCAAGUUCUAACAGUACAUUGGGGGAGUGGGGGCGGAGAAGGCACCCCACCUGAACUUUCAUUUCUCAAGCCUCAAGCGGCGACAGUACCUAGCAACACGAGGUCAGGGAGUGUUUUUUACUGGUUACGUCCAAAGUGGAGAGCUAAGAACAACAGCCUGAAGGAAACUAUACAGAGAGAGCUAGGAGGAUUGGUUUCCAGUCCAGGAGUGAGCUCCUGUCUUUUGAUUUGAAAUGAAACACCCACUGGGAGAGGUCUGUAGCUGCUGCUUUCGUGAGGCUGGUCAUGGAGGGGCGCAUGCCCUGAGGUGUGUGUGUGUUAGCUAUGACGAGAAAACAUAUGAAGUUUCUGCUAUUGUUAAGCCUGAUGUCGAAGAGUUGAAAUGAUUUGUGAAUCUCUGUGCACGUAAAUGGAACACUGGACAAGUUAAGCCAUGUGUAUUCCAUCUCCUUUAAUAUAUUGCUUGUGAUUGGCCUAAUAGAGAGUCUGCAAGACGUGAUUUCUAUUCAAAGCAUCUCAUCCAGAUCACUUUACAAUACUUUUCUUCAUAUCUAGAAAAUGCGUGUAUGCAUAUAAGUUUCGUGAACAAUUUUUUUGAAUAUCCAGGUCACUUUAUGCAUAUCCAGAUCACUUUACAAACAGAACAAAUGCGUGUAUUCCUUUUUCAUCAUAUCCAUAUCUAGAAAAGCAUUCCUCCAUGUAAUAGGGUUUUUGAAAGCAGUAUGCAUAUAUGUUUCGUGAACAAUUUUUUUUUGUUAUUGCAACCAUUAGAAAGAAUCUUACUGGAUUGUCCUGGAAAAUAUUAGUCUUCUAUUGCCGAUAACUAGAUCCGUGUUAACUCAAUAGGGUGAUCUAGCGAGUUAUCUUGAGACAAAAGGUCGCCUGCAAUCUUAUAAGGUGAUCAGAUUUGCCCUUGAGACUGCAAGGUAUGUUAGGAUUCAUGACAUAUGUAUCUUCUUUUCCUAUUUUUUCCUUUUAAAGCUGUAACUACCAUUUGAGAAUUGACUUAAACUGCUCGCAUUAGUGCAUCAUUUUGUAGUCACCUGAAAAUAAUGUAGCAUUGACUGAAACUGCUCACCAUUUGAAGUAUUGACUGAAACAUUAACUACCAUUGAAGUAUUUUCUUUAUUUUUUUGACUAGAAAAGCCUGAAGAUGAAUUAAGUUGAUUCAUGUAGAUGAAAUGGUUUUCCAUUUCCAUUUGUGUCGUUUCAGUGAAACAAAAUGAUAUUGCAGCUCUUUUCAUUUAUGUGUUGUUUUAGUGCAUUAUUAUCUUCCAUGAUUUGUUUUUCACUGAUACAUUUUGUUGCAUAUAUGGAGGCCAUCUGCUAUUCUGCUGAUAUUUCUUAUUAUAUCAUCUUGUUUGCGAACUUAAAAAGGUCCCUCAAAGAGAAGCGUUUUUCAUAUGCUCCUGAAUCUGGUGUGCGGUAUGAUGGAGUUUACAGAUUGAGAACUGUUGGAGGAAGACUGGUAUUCAGGUAAUUUUACUUUACUUCCUGUACAGAGGUUCCACAUGCUGCUCUCUACUUUGUUCCUGUACAAGGCCAUAGCUACUAUAAGGUGAUGAUAUGCUACAGUGUGCAGUUUGCUUUAUGUUCGUUUUGUUCAUUUGAUUGACCCUGAAAAAACUGAUUCCACCGCAUCUCUUUAUGACAGCAUGUUGUCCUUUGGUUUCACUUCCUGUAAUGUCUGUAAGGUUAGUUUUAAAGAGAUGUAUGAUUCUAUUCAGUUCUAAUUUUAGAAGAACAAACAAUUGUUAAAGAAUGCCCAUUACUACUGGUUCUGAUAUGUAGAGGGAUGGCAUUUGUUCAUUUGAUUGCUAAAGCCAACAUCUAAAUAGUGAAGGACGUAACUGAUAAAUCAUCACAACAAUUCCCGGCGCAGCAAAGCAUGCAUGUUCAUCUAGAUCCAAGCAGCUCUUUUCAGAUCAAUUAAGGAAUCAAUCUCACGAUGGUUUAUGCUUGAUGCAGCGGAGGGUCACAGAUUCACAGGUGUAAGGAUCAGUACAAUUGGGCCUCGCAUUAUUUUUUUCCAGAAUUGGGUGUGCGUACUCUCUAAACUGAAUUGAGUGAGCUAAAUCUGUGCAUCUAAAUUGUAGUCUGUAGCUUUAUGUGUUACGUCUUAAGGUUCAAAUUGAAGAUUGCCUUUGGGAGUAGUUUUAGUUGGUAGAAGUUUCAGGCUACAAAUACGCACACAUUAUGUGCUUAAUGUGUGGCAUAAACAUGAUCAGUUUUAUGUUUAGAAACCAAAUCACUGUCCACCCAUUUAUUUUUUCAUGAGUAUUUUGUGUUGAAAUCAGAUCACCGUUCACCUGUUCUGUGUAUUGUUGUCUUUAAUAUUUUUUUGCUGAUUCUCAAUAAAAUGCUCAGUUUCAGGAUGUGAUUUUCAGUUUUAGGCAUUUGGUACUUUCGGCAUCGAGAAAAAAAAUUGUUCCUCUGAGCGUGUGCCUUCAAAUGCAAAGUUCUGACUAUGAUUUCGCGUGCAACCAUAGCGCCGUUGGCCGCUCUGCCUACCGAGUGCCACCCCGCCGCCUCCUCCCACCCCCCACCUGGGACCUCACCGCCCGCUCCCCGCCCGACACACCCACAACGCUUGAGGCUGAGCAGACGCCAUUGGCCCGUGGGCACGGAAACAGAGUCCAGGAUGGUGAUGGUGCCAAGGAGGACUCUCAAACGUCGACCGAUUGCAUCGUUGCUGCCGUACCAAUGGAGUGGCGCUGCUCCAACCACUCUGAGAUGGCCGCACAACAUUUUCUUUAGCAAAGGUGUCUCUGUUGCUGAGAUUCUUACAGAUGGCUGGGAGUCGGCGCAAAGUACAUGGACACAUUGGUGCUAUAUUUUAAAAUUGUGAAACAGCAUCCAAGCUACUUGUGAAGGAGAUUAGAUCUUCAGAAGAAACUCCAAUGCAUCGAAGAUUAAAAGAAAAUCAUGAAGACUCACAUGCAUAUUGUUCACCAGACUCAUCAAUGGCAUCAUACGACUCAUAACACCACCGACUUGACCACAAAUCAGCCGCUGGUUGCAUGCCGUAGCACUAUCAGUUCCUUGUGGUGAUCGUGGUUACUUGAAGCUGACGAGGAUGGAUGAUGGUUGGUUUUGGUGGAGAGAUCAGGCCUGAUGAGUAUCAAAUGCCAUGAGAAAUUCAAAAAUUCCAUGGGAAGAAUGAAGACAGCUAGCAAGGUUGGGUUCUCCGAGGAAUGCCCAUCCGAGCUGGCUAUGGGGACGAUGACUCAAGGGAUGGACACGGCGAUCAUGCUUAACCAGUUGGGCAAUCCGAAGUGGAGUUGUAACUUGGUCGUGGAGAGACAGGCAGAGAUGAUUUUAGGGCGUCGCCUGGUUUGCCGGGGCGGCGCCCAGCCGGACCUUCUGGGGAUGACGCUAUGAUUUGGGGAGCAGCAGUGCGGCGAGGCUGGUUUCCCGCAUUCGGGCGUGAGGUUGAUGGAGGAGACUAGACUGAUGCGUGGCUGUUGACGCUCCCAUCCGGCAACACCGACCAAGCGGACGCGUCCCAGAUCAAUGGCUAUCCGGCAACACCGACCAACGGCGGAUGCGUCCCAGAUCAAUGCCAGAAAAAUCACAUCGUCGAUCGUAAGUGCUCCGGACUUCGCGCAGCUCCUGCUGUACUCCGUCGGUCACAUGUACCAUGAACAUGGAGUGUCGCAUGUAGUUUGUUGCUUUACAAAAGAAGAAGAUGCUUGAUGCCUUGUUUUGUUGACGACAUUUAUUAAUGACUUGCAGCAACAGUACGCUGCUUCAGUUAUUGGCCGGGAGCUACAACUACUUAUCAUAAAAUAUGCCAAAUACAAUGAUUUUAUUAUGUAGAAGUACAAAUAAAAAUAUUAUUAUGUAGUUUCAUGUUGAAGAAAUACAAUUAUUUUACUAUGUAGAAGUA
This is an RNA transcript of Triticum aestivum (bread wheat), 4301 nucleotides long. RefSeq lists it as uncharacterized. The transcript is spliced from 6 exons. NCBI's taxonomy places the organism in Eukaryota, Viridiplantae, Streptophyta, Magnoliopsida, Poales, Poaceae. The record is from RefSeq and is a predicted model, not a curated record.